GAAGCUGGCUGGACAAUCGCUGUUGAGCUUUAUUUCGAUAAGGUUUGAGGGAGGAAAGUCCGGACUUCAAAGGGCAGGGUGCCAGGUAACACCUGGAAGGUGAAAACCUAUGGAAAGUGCCACAGAAAAUAUACCGCUUGACUGUUCUUUGAGUAGUUGAGUAAGGGUGAAAUGGUGCGGUAAGAGCGCACCGCGCUGGUGGUAACAUCAGUGGCAGGGUAAACCCCACCUGAAGCAAGACCAAAUAGGGAUCCUGAGGCGUGGCCCACGCUGGAUCCGGGUAGGUCGCAUGAGGCUUAUGGUGACAUAAGUCCUAGAUGAAUGAUUGUCCUCGACAGAAUCCGGCUUAUAGGCCAGCUUCAACU
RNAcentral lists this RNase P RNA (365 nucleotides) under Gammaproteobacteria bacterium. RNAcentral's name for it is "RNase P RNA component class A". It matches the Rfam family "Bacterial RNase P class A". From Rfam's summary of the family: Ribonuclease P (RNase P) is a ubiquitous endoribonuclease, found in archaea, bacteria and eukarya as well as chloroplasts and mitochondria. Its best characterised activity is the generation of mature 5'-ends of tRNAs by cleaving the 5'-leader elements of precursor-tRNAs. The record is from RNAcentral. Lineage: Bacteria; Pseudomonadati; Pseudomonadota; Gammaproteobacteria.